UACGUAGGUGGCAAGCGUUAUCCGGAUUUAUUGGGCGUAAAGGGAACGCAGGCGGUCUUUUAAGUCUGAUGUGAAAGCCUUCGGCUUAACCGGAGUAGUGCAUUGGAAACUGGGAGACUUGAGUGCAGAAGAGGAGAGUCGAACUCCAUGUGUAGCGGUGAAAUGCGUAGAUAUAUGGAAGAACACCAGUGGCGAAAGCGGCUCUCUGGUCUGUAACUGACGCUGAGGUUCGAAAGCGUGGGUAGCAAACAGG
This 253-nucleotide ribosomal RNA is filed under the name uncultured bacterium. RNAcentral describes it as "partial 16S ribosomal RNA". It matches the Rfam family "Bacterial small subunit ribosomal RNA", at positions 524 to 776 of the family's 1533-position model. The record is from RNAcentral.